GGAAUAUUGGUCAAUGGGCGCGAGCCUGAACCAGCCAAGUCGCGUGAGGGAGGACGGCCCUAACGGGUUGUAAACCUCUUUGCCGGGGAGCAACGGGCGUCACGUGUGGCGCCACUGAGAGUACCCGGAGAAAAAGCAUCGGCUAACUCCGUGCC
This 155-nucleotide ribosomal RNA is filed under the name uncultured bacterium. Its description in RNAcentral is "partial 16S ribosomal RNA". It matches the Rfam family "Bacterial small subunit ribosomal RNA", at positions 358 to 509 of the family's 1533-position model. The record is from RNAcentral.